UGCCUUACACAUGCAAGUCGAACGGCAGCGCGUCCUUCGGGAUGGCGGCGAGUGGCGAACGGGUGAGUAAAGCAUCGGAACGUGCCCGGUAGUGCGGGAUAGCUCGGCGAAAGCCGGAUUAAUACCGCAUGAGAUCCGUGGAUGAAAGCAGGGGACCCUUCGGGGCCUUGCGCUACUGGAGCGGCCGAUGUCAGAUUAGGUAGUUGGCGGGGUAAAGGCCCACCAAGCCUGCGAUCUGUAGCUGGUCUGAGAGGAUGAUCAGCCACAUCGGGGCUGAGACACGGCCCGAACUCCUACGGGAGGCAGCAGUGGGGAAUUUUGGACAAUGGGCGCAAGCCUGAUCCAGCCAUGCCGCGUGCAGGAUGAAGGCCUUCGGGUUGUAAACUGC
RNAcentral lists this ribosomal RNA (388 nucleotides) under uncultured organism. RNAcentral's name for it is "bacterial SSU rRNA". It matches the Rfam family "Bacterial small subunit ribosomal RNA", at positions 45 to 433 of the family's 1533-position model. The record is from RNAcentral.